AUGGAUUCCAGGACAAAAUACCAAAAUCCAGCGGAUUCCAGCCCAAAAUCCCAAAUCCCGUCAGAUUCCGACCCAAAAUCGAAGCUUUUGGGGUUGAAAUUUCAAAAUCCAGUGGAUUCCACCCUGACGUUCCAACUAUCGACAGAUUCUGACCCCAAAUCCAAAAUCUCAACGGAUUCUGACCCAAAAUCUGAAUUUUUGGGGUUGAAAUUUCAAAUUCCAGCAGAUCCUAGGACAAAAUCCCCAAAUCCAGCAGAUUCCAGCCUGGAAUUCCAAAUAUCGACGGAUUCUGACCCAAAAUCCCAAAACACAUCGGGAAUUCCUGGGAGGAGCAGCAGGAGGAGGAAAAUCCCAGCGGGAAACGCCCGAAAAUCCCAAAAAAUGGGAAAAUUCCAGCCUGGAAAUGAUGAAAAUCCUGAAAAUCCCCAAAAUUCACCAGAAACUCCUCAAAUUCCUGUGGAAAAUUUGGGAAUUCCGGCCAAAAAAUGCAGGAAUUCGGACGAUUUAUGGGAAAAUUCCCAGGUUUCAGCAGGAACCUCUGGGAAUCCCCAAAAUACGUUGGGAAAUUCGGAAAUUUUGGGGGGAAAUUCUGGAGAUUCCCACGUUUUAUUGGGAAACUCCCCAAAUUCCCAAACUUCAUCAGAAAAUCCCCAAAUCCCCUCGGAUUUCUCCAAAUCCCCAGAUUUCCAAAAUCCCCCAGAAGAUCUCCCGGAAAAUUUCCAAAAAAAUUUUUCCGAGUUCCAAAAUCUCAAAAAAAAUUCCCAGGAAAAUUUCCCUGAAAUCCCGAAUUUUCCCGAGUCCCCGAAGGUCCCAAAUCGCCCGGAAUUUCCCCCAAACUCCCCCAAUUUCCCCCUGCCCGGCCUGGCCGGGGUCCUGGCGCGGCUGCGGGUCCCGAUCCGCGCCCCCGCCGGCUCCUGGCGCUGCUGUCGCGAUAGGGGCAGCGAUGGCCGCGAUAAGGGCGGCUCCUGUCGCGAUAGGGGCGGCUCCCGUCGCGAUCCCGGCCGCUGCCGCCGCUGCUGUCGCGGCUCCUGUCGCGAUAGGCGGCGCGGGGGGGCGGGGCUGACCCUGCAGGCCACGGUGGACGCGCGCGGCUGCCUCUGGAACGUGGAGUUCCCGCGCGCCGGGGCGGGCGUGCGGCGCUCGGCGCUGUUCCGGAGCAUGGAGCGGGCGGCGCGAAACGGGGACAGAAACCGCGGAAAUGGGAAAAAACCCGACGGU
RNAcentral lists this long non-coding RNA (1218 nucleotides) under Junco hyemalis (dark-eyed junco). RNAcentral's name for it is "lncRNA (ENSJHYG00000000442.1)". The record is from RNAcentral. Lineage: Eukaryota; Metazoa; Chordata; Aves; Passeriformes; Passerellidae.